ACAUCGGCUUAGCUGACCCUUGCGAUUACCCCAAUGUGGGUAACUCGGUCGUAUAAUUUCUGGUAGUGGGGACUGCGUUCGCGCUAUCCCCGU
This is a non-coding RNA of Ciona savignyi (Pacific transparent sea squirt), 93 nucleotides long. NCBI's taxonomy places the organism in Eukaryota, Metazoa, Chordata, Ascidiacea, Phlebobranchia, Cionidae. The record is from Rfam.